Long non-coding RNA from Erigeron canadensis, 1298 nucleotides. RefSeq lists it as uncharacterized. The transcript has 2 exons. Lineage: Eukaryota; Viridiplantae; Streptophyta; Magnoliopsida; Asterales; Asteraceae. The record is from RefSeq and is a predicted model, not a curated record.
UAUGACUUUGGAUUCAAAAUUAAUACAGUACUCUAUUAUUUCUCUCUCUCAUCAAUACUACUGGUCAGUGGUCGCUCUCUCAGUCAUUUCAGUUUUUAGAGAGAAUUAAAAAAUAAACUCCAUAUACAUAUCCUCCAAUCCUCUCCGGAUGCUUUCCUUUGUUUCUCGGAGAAACUGUGCUGGACAUCUCCUCCGACCAGACUUUAACUGAAGUCCUCUUUCUCCCUCUUUGUCUGUAUAUAUCUAUUUUUUAGUUUGACAAAAUACCAAGCUGUGUAUUCCGGCCAACCAAUUACAAUCUGGUCAGCCCAUCACCGAAUCUAUCAAGAUCUGCUCACCCCAUCACCAUCACUACGCAUCAAUAUCCGGUAGUGGGUGUGGAUGUGUUUUCCAAUUCCACAUAUCAAUUUAUCCUUCUAAAGUUAAUUCGAUAUCUAUAUAGUAUAAUUUUAUACGUAAUUGAUAAAAUAAACAAUUCCUUAUCUUUGUAGUUAAAGAUGAUCACACACACUAAAUUAGUUUUUGGGUCUAUUCAAAUAUGUCGCCCACUUUUAUUUUAGUUAUCAUUAUCUAAUAAUUAUUAUUAAUUGUGCUCAACCGAGUGAGCUGUUGCUAAACUGGCGUGUAAGGUAUGGCUGAAAUUGCCGAUGCAUCCACUAAGGUUGAUGCAGAAGAGGAUAUACACUAAAGAUGGCAUGGCACUGUUGACUACAAAAAUAAUCUUGCUAAUAAGAAGGUUAUAGGGAGCUUGAAGGCCUGCACUUCAAUCUUGAAUGGCGAUAAAUAAGCAGGCGUAAUGUGUUUUGCUAGAAGACACACCCAACAAUGAUCAAGAAUCUCUAAAGUGGAGACAUCAUGAGUCCUGACUCCUGACUAAUGUACAACUAUGUCUAUGAAAGUUAAUCUUUUAUGUAAAAACAUUCAAGACAUUACGGGUCACCAUAGAAGCUACUUUUUGGUUGUCAAUUAUAUCCACCGCAACGCUCGGGUACCAUGCUAGUAUAUCAAAUGAAGAUUAGAGAGAUAUUUAUACCUUGUGGAAAAUUCUUAUGAAAAUGGUGACCUCAGUAGUAGCAGCUCCUUAACUCUUCUCCACAGGCAUCACUUGCAGGAGACAAACAUGCACCAAAAGUUAAAGCUUUUCCUAGCUAGCUAUACUUGUGAUGUGCAAACAAGCUAGUUAAUGAAAUAUGUAUAUAUAUAUAUAUAUAUAUAUGGUAGAGAUAUAUAUAUAUAUGGUAGAGAUCUAAAGAGAAGGUUCUUAAGCAGAGAAGGGAAAGAAGGUUUGUUUUUUAUUA